Equus asinus (donkey) is the source of this 107-nucleotide small nuclear RNA. The record is from Ensembl. Lineage: Eukaryota; Metazoa; Chordata; Mammalia; Perissodactyla; Equidae.
GUGGUUGUUUUAGCAGCACAUAUACUAUACCUGGAAUAAUACAGAGAAGAUUAGCACGGCCCCUGUGCAAGAAGGACAUGAAAAUGUGCAAAGCAUUCCAUAUUUCU